This 69-nucleotide transfer RNA is filed under the name Lunella correensis. RNAcentral describes it as "tRNA-Ile". Lineage: Eukaryota; Metazoa; Mollusca; Gastropoda; Trochida; Turbinidae. The record is from RNAcentral.
GGUGUAGUGCCGGAUUAAACGGAUUGCGAUGAUGACGCAGUGCAUGAGGGAUUUAUCUCUUCUUCACCU